This 478-nucleotide ribosomal RNA is filed under the name uncultured bacterium. RNAcentral's name for it is "partial 16S ribosomal RNA". It matches the Rfam family "Bacterial small subunit ribosomal RNA", at positions 28 to 523 of the family's 1533-position model. The record is from RNAcentral.
GACGAACGCUGGCGGCGUGCUUAACACAUGCAAGUCGAACGGUAAGGCCCUUCGGGGUACACGAGUGGCGAACGGGUGAGUAACACGUGGGUGAUCUGCCCUGCACUUCGGGAUAAGCCUGGGAAACUGGGUCUAAUACCGGAUAGGACCACUGCCUGCAUGGGUGGUGGUGGAAAGCUUUUGCGGUGUGGGAUGGGCCCGCGGCCUAUCAGCUUGUUGGUGGGGUGAUGGCCUACCAAGGCGACGACGGGUAGCCGGCCUGAGAGGGUGACCGGCCACACUGGGACUGAGAUACGGCCCAGACUCCUACGGGAGGCAGCAGUGGGGAGUAUUGCACAAUGGGCGCAGGCCUGAUGCAGCGACGCCGCGUGAGGGAUGACGGCCUUCGGGUUGUAAACCUCUUUCAGCACCGACGAAGCGCAAGUGACGGUAGGUGCAGAAGAAGGACCGGCCAACUACGUGCCAGCCGCCGCAGUAA